UGACCCAGCUUACUCAUACCCUUGCUUUUACAAAAUCCUGUUCUUUUUGCGGAUACAGACUAACACGGCUGCUACUCUGAACUCUGAUUAAUGCUGAGAGACGCCUAUGAAGUAUUGGUAGCUCUUGGUAACAAGAGUGGUAGCCCCGCUGUAUGUGUUGUCCCCUCUCUCCAUCCAUCUUGUGCAGUAUUUCAGAAAAUCAGUGUUAGGACAUCAUGCAUCAAAGAAACAAAGAAUAGUGAAAGUUAGAAGAUACAUAAGGAAGACUUCUCCCAAGCACAUAAUAUGCAUGCCUCUUUUCCUGGAAGCAUGGGGCCUAGCUCUCAGCUCUUUGAAUCUAAUUCCUUCUUUCCCUCCAAGACCUGCUGAAUGACAAUGUUGACUCCAAUGACAAGAAUAGGGAGAAUCAUCUAUGAGUGUGCUGCUAUUUAGCUUUUCAGUGGUUAUCCUGCACCAAUUGCCAGUGCCAGAAGGAGAGCACUUUCCAGGGCAGUCUAUGCUAAUUGUGCUGAUCCUCACUGGAAGAUGAAGUGUUCAAGGGAUCCUACCCCGAUUGGGCAAGCUGACACCUCUGCCUCUGAGGCCUUUUACUCCCUUCUCCCAAGAGAUUUGAUUCUAGGUUCGUAUACUUAAUUGUGGUGUGGGGUUUGGGUUCCACGUUGCUUUAUUUCAGCUCUGCAUCAGCCAUUGCAGCCUAAUUUCUGGCUUGCUGCUGUCUCCUCCUCCUUCCCAUAGCCAUAAGUAAGUAAUAGCCCUUCUGCCCCUUUGUUUCCCACUUUCUCUCUCUCUGGUAGUUGAGUGAAAGCCUUUCUUCUCCACUCCAGAGAUUCUGCCACUCUCAGGUUUUCCGCACUGCAGUAGUUUUCACUUCUUUUUAGCAAAGCCCUGCUGGGUUCUUAGCCGCUAGUUCCUCUCUAGUGUUGUAGCAUGGGCACUGGCAGUGCUCCAGCUAGAGUCCUAGUUAGCCUAUCCUCCUCUCCUGUCAGGUGGAUGAAAGUUCUGUCUCACACACACUAACCACCCUUGUUUCUUUUACUUAGAGGACAACACUGGUCUGAGAGGGUCCCAAUGACUGUGAAUCAGAUGGAAUUAGCUUUAUGCUCUGUUCUUUUUGUUCUCACCAGCAAGUGUAAGUGCCUGGACCCUAGGCCAAACAAUGCAUGCAGGAGCUAGGAUUCCAGGGCCCCUUGAUCAGCAGGAUCUUCAGUAUAUGACAGUAAUUAGACAAGGUUCUUCUCUUCUCCCCUGCUGGCAGGCUCUUGCUCCAUUAUUCUGCCUUGGCUCUAGAAGUUCAGGCUCAGUAGAAACUUCUGUGCUUAACUCUACUCAGAGGCUUGAGAAAAUCAUUCUUCUUACUGCUUUUCAUGGCAGGUUUCCCUCUAAUUUUCUCUCUGGUGCAUUCUUGCUCACAUACAGCAGAGGAUUCGCUGCAGAGCUUUCAGAACUUGGCUACAUAACUGGAACUGAAAUAAUCAAACUGGUUGUAAUUCAUAUAUUUAGUUACUUCAGUGCAAGUCUGUGUGCACACAAUGUGUGCUCUGUUUUAACAUAAGUCUAUACUCACUUACAUAAUCCAAAAGAAGAGUGCCCUAUUUCGAGAUUAAGUGACCACACACAGGCUAGCCCUGAAAUAACCAAAGGGGAGAAUGACUGCUGAUUUUCUGUUACUGUGUAGACAAGCCCUGCCUUUCCAUGCUGGUGCAUUGCUCUUAGCUUCAGCGUGUGGGUCUCUAUAAUUUCACCAUGCAGAUAACUGAGGUCCCCUUAACUCACACACACACACUCACUCUCUUUGGUACCCUUCCCACCCAUGCCUGCUGUCCCAGUCUCAGCUGCAUUGUCUAAUUAAACAGCAAGGCUGCAGCUGUCCCAGUGCUGAACUGGGUUAGGAUUAAUUUACCUAUGUGCCAUAUAAUAAACCAUGCUAAAUAUGGCUUGACAUGGUUUUCUGAAAUACAGUACGUCCUGGUCUACACGUGCAGUAAAACAAUGUUCAGCACGGAGUCACUCUUGUUGAUAUUUGUCACUAAAGGUAAAUUUUGUUUGCUGUUUAAAAGUAGAGGUAGGACACUUCCCAGUCACCCAAAAUGUUAAAUAAAUGGGAAUUAAGGGGAGAGAAUUGUACAUUUCUUUUUCAUGUUUGUAUUGACCACAAUACCCCAAAACACUCCAUAAAGCUUUUACUUCCAUCUCAGACACCCAAAACCAGCACCGAGUUCCGGCACCUCUAGACUUGCCGCAUCAGUUACGAAUUAAGCACUGCCCAUAACCUAACUUCAUCAAACUGGUUCUCCAAAACACACAACCUUAACAGAUCAACACAUUUGACUGUCACACCGUUCAAGCAUUUUGGGAAGAGGCUUGUUAUUUUGCCUUUCCACUCGUGAGGUCACUAUUAUUCUUUUCUGCUGAAUGAGUUUCAGAGAUGUAGGGCAGGAUUAAGAUUUCUUGGCACUGCUGCCUGAAAUUCAGAGGAUUAGAGUGCACUCUCCUAACAUUCUGAACUUGUGUAAUCAAUAGUGCAGUGGGGAAAAAUUCUAAUUACGUGGACAAUAAAAGUAGCUGUUGGUUGUAGAAGAGUAGAUUCCAAGUGAAGUUACAGGUAAGAGCCUAACUCCAGCUUUUAUUGUGCUAAAUCUUUUCAUAGGCCAUCAUUUUGUCUGUCACUCAUGUUUCUUUUGUAUGAGAUGUGCUUCGCCUUCCGUGUCAAACAGUCUCAUGCCUGCUCCCCUGGAAAACACAGUUGCCCAACUUGCUUAAGCAAGUUCCCAAGGUAGAACCUGCUUCCGUCCUGGAGCCCCUGUCUUGUCAACAGGCACUGUGAUGUGUGUAUGUUAGCGCUACCACAACCCACCCUUAUAAAGAGGCUUGUGUAAAAUAGAUUUCAGUGUGCAUGAAGAAUUACAACAAUCAUGUAACAUUGCAAUUAGUUUCAUGUUGUCUAAAUAGAUUGUUUGGAAGUGAA
This is a long non-coding RNA of Malaclemys terrapin pileata, 2965 nucleotides long. RefSeq lists it as uncharacterized. NCBI's taxonomy places the organism in Eukaryota, Metazoa, Chordata, Testudines, Emydidae. The record is from RefSeq and is a predicted model, not a curated record. The transcript has 2 exons.